CCGGCACGGGUGAGUAACACGUAUCCAACCUGCCGUCUACUCUUGGACAGCCUUCUGAAAGGAAGAUUAAUACAAGAUGGCAUCAUGAGUCCGCAUGUUCACAUGAUUAAAGGUAUUCCGGUAGACGAUGGGGAUGCGUUCCAUUAGAUAGUAGGCGGGGUAACGGCCCACCUAGUCUUCGAUGGAUAGGGGUUCUGAGAGGAAAGUCCCCCACAUUGGAACUGAGACACGGUCCAA
This 237-nucleotide ribosomal RNA is filed under the name uncultured bacterium. Its description in RNAcentral is "partial 16S ribosomal RNA". It matches the Rfam family "Bacterial small subunit ribosomal RNA", at positions 100 to 334 of the family's 1533-position model. The record is from RNAcentral.